This 1019-nucleotide long non-coding RNA is filed under the name Numida meleagris (helmeted guineafowl). Its description in RNAcentral is "lncRNA (ENSNMEG00000006281.1)". Lineage: Eukaryota; Metazoa; Chordata; Aves; Galliformes; Numididae. The record is from RNAcentral.
GGAACAGAACCUCCUCCUGAAAGGCAGAAAUCCUUCCAAAAGGGAUUUUCAAUAUUUCAGAUAAGCCUUACUAAUGGUAAAUCCGGCUAUUCACUCCGUGCACUUCAUACAUAGGAUUUGACCCUUUAUUAUGUUAAUGCCGGUGUUCAGCGGAUGCUGCUCGCAGUGCUCUCCAUUUCUUCCCAUUGUCUGCCACGAGCACUUGGGGGCUCUGGGAUGCUCCUGCUGCCGGGCUGGGGGCUCGACCCUCACCUUAGGGGGGGGUCCAGCCUGGGAUUGUCCCCGGGGUGUCCCUGCUCUCGUCUCUGCACCUCCACCUCUGCAGCGAGGGCAAAUCACUCUGGUCCAGGUGUUCCUGAAUCAGAGAAGAGGAUCACAGAAUGGCUCGGGCUGGAAGGGACCUGAAGCAUCAUCAAGUUCCAGCCUUCCUGCCACAGUCAGGGUUGCCAGCUGCUGGGUCAAGUGCUUGAUCAGAUUGCCCAGUGCCCCAUGCAGCCUGGCUUUAAACACCUCCAAGGCGGUGUCUUGCCUGCUCUGCCCUGCACACAGCGAUGUCCCAGGGAUGCAAACCAGGAGACGGGUGAAAAAUUACACCAGGGUCUUGCGAAAGAAAGAAAAGCAAGCACGCAGGAAGCCUCAGAAAACAUUCUGGAGAAAUGUAUGUUUUGGCAUUCCUGGCUCCUGCCUGUCUGGGGCUUGUCAGCAGCUGACAAGAAGUAAAUGGAACGGGGCGGGCGUCCUCGGCUGUUGGCAGGAGCACCGGGCCCGGUUCCUCGCAUCACUCAGCCCUGCCAGCAUUGAUGGAACUGCAGAGUGGAUCCCAGCACCUCUCCCUUCCCUCCUUCCCGGAUGGCCCAGGAGAGCUCUGAGCGAUGCACGGGCACAGCCGGGAGCCAAGCAUCCUCACUAGAGCCAUCCCCAGCUUCGUGGAGCCCGUGGAGCUUCAUGCUACUUGUGGGGCUCCAAAACUGGUUGAUAUUGGUGAGGCCCCUCCCUAGAAGCGCGUUCGUGGGCCGGAG